CCUCUCCUGAGUUACGAGCUGCUCCUCAGUCCUAAGCUCCAGCCUGCUCCCAGAUGGGUGAGGAGACCAUUCCCAACAAUGGGAGUGUGGUAAAGGAGACUGGAAAUUAGCAGUGGGCAAACUGGACCCAGGAAAGGGAAUGAAGGCUGAAGAUUUUGGGAAGCUGUGCGUGACACUGGUGAAGCAGGUCUGCAUGGGGACGGACAGGCAAGCUGGUCAAGACGAACGGCUUUUUUACCAGAACUAAUUAAGCUAGGAGACAACAUGGAUUUCUCAAAUAAAUCUCACCCGUAUUUCAGAGGAGCACUGGGUGGAUGGAACUGACAGGUUGGCCAAAGCACUCUGUGAAGAUCACUGCUAUUAUUCAAUUGUGUUAGUAUCUCACUUGCACACAGAGUUUAUAAACCAGAAUUAAAG
Molecule: long non-coding RNA, 417 nt
Filed under: Gallus gallus (chicken)
Lineage: Eukaryota; Metazoa; Chordata; Aves; Galliformes; Phasianidae
Description: long non-coding RNA NONGGAT003724
Source: RNAcentral